UUAACUUAUUAUAAUCUUACUCAGACAACACAAAAAUCAGGAGUUUAGGGUUCUCUGGCAGGCGCGGACCAGCCUAAGCCGAUGGUCAAGAGACGGGCCUGCCAAAGCAACAAAGGUAAUAUAAACAAAGGGUAGGAGAUUUACCCCGAAGGGCAUUUUCUCUGUAAUGAUCCUUCCGCAGGUUCACCUACGGAAA
This 196-nucleotide unclassified non-coding RNA is filed under the name uncultured fungus. RNAcentral's name for it is "sequence contains ITS1". The record is from RNAcentral. Lineage: Eukaryota; Fungi.